RNAcentral lists this ribosomal RNA (484 nucleotides) under uncultured bacterium. RNAcentral describes it as "partial 16S ribosomal RNA". It matches the Rfam family "Bacterial small subunit ribosomal RNA", at positions 30 to 507 of the family's 1533-position model. The record is from RNAcentral.
AUUGAACGCUGGCGGCAGGCCUAACACAUGCAAGUCGAGCGGAUGAAGGGAGCUUGCUCCUGGAUUCAGCGGCGGACGGGUGAGUAAGGCCUAUGAAUCUGCCUGGGAGUGGGGGAUAACGUCCGGAAACGGGCGCUAAUACCGCAUACGUCCUGAGGGAGAAAGUGGGGGAUCUUCGGACCUCACGCUAUCAGAUGAGCCUAGGUCGGGUUAGCUAGUUGGUGGGGUAAAGGCCUACCAAGGCGACGAUCCGUAACUGGUCUGAGAGGAUGAUCAGUCACACUGGAACUGAGACACGGUCCAGACUCCUACGGGAGGCAGCAGUGGGGAAUAUUGGACAAUGGGCGAAAGCCUGAUCCAGCCAUGCCGCGUGUGUGAAGAAGGUCUUCGGAUUGUAAAGCACUUUAAGUUGGGAGGAAGGGCAGUAAGUUAAUACCUUGCUGUUUUGACGUUACCAACAGAAUAAGCACCGGCUAACUUCGUG